UGAGGAAUAUUGGUCAAUGGUCGCUAGACUGAACCAGCCAAGUAGCGUGCGGGAUGAAGGCCCUCCGGGUCGUAAACCGCUUUUAGACGGGGAUAAAAGGGCGUACGUGUACGCCGUAUUGCAUGUACCGUCAGAAAAAGGACCGGCUAAUUCCGUGCCAGCAGCCGCGGUAAUACGGAAGGUCCGGGCGUUAUCCGGAUUUAUUGGGUUUAAAGGGAGCGUAGGCGGACUUUCAAGUCAGUGGUAAAAUCGUGUGGCUCAACCAUACCUCGCCAUUGAAACUGGAAGUCUGGAGUGCACACAGGGGUGCCGGAAUUCAUGGUGUAGCGGUGAAAUGCUUAGAUAUCAUGAAGAACUCCGAUCGCGAAGGCAAGUGCCCGGGGUGCAACUGACGCUGAGGCUCGAAGGUGCGGGGUAUCGAACAGGAUUAGAUACC
RNAcentral lists this ribosomal RNA (436 nucleotides) under uncultured bacterium. Its description in RNAcentral is "bacterial SSU rRNA". It matches the Rfam family "Bacterial small subunit ribosomal RNA", at positions 355 to 786 of the family's 1533-position model. The record is from RNAcentral.